Molecule: ribosomal RNA, 638 nt
Filed under: uncultured bacterium
Lineage: Bacteria
Description: bacterial SSU rRNA
Rfam family: Bacterial small subunit ribosomal RNA
Source: RNAcentral
GCAACCUGCCCAAAAGAGGGGGAUAACACUUGGAAACAGGUGCUAAUACCGCAUAACCAUAGUUACCGCAUGGUAACUAUGUAAAAGGUGGCUAUGCUACCGCUUUUGGAUGGGCCCGCGGCGCAUUAGCUAGUUGGUGGGGUAAAGGCUUACCAAGGCAAUGAUGCGUAGCCGAACUGAGAGGUUGAUCGGCCACAUUGGGACUGAGACACGGCCCAAACUCCUACGGGAGGCAGCAGUAGGGAAUCUUCCACAAUGGGCGAAAGCCUGAUGGAGCAACGCCGCGUGGGUGAAGAAGGUCUUCGGAUCGUAAAACCCUGUUGUUAGAGAAGAAAGUGCGUGAGAGUAACUGUUCACGUUUCGACGGUAUCUAACCAGAAAGCCACGGCUAACUACGUGCCAGCAGCCGCGGUAAUACGUAGGUGGCAAGCGUUAUCCGGAUUUAUUGGGCGUAAAGGGAACGCAGGCGGUCUUUUAAGUCUGAUGUGAAAGCCUUCGGCUUAACCGGAGUAGUGCAUUGGAAACUGGGAGACUUGAGUGCAGAAGAGGAGAGUGGAACUCCAUGUGUAGCGGUGAAAUGCGUAGAUAUAUGGAAGAUCACCAGUGGCGAAAGCGGCUCUCUGGUCUGUAACUGACGC